RNAcentral lists this ribosomal RNA (465 nucleotides) under uncultured bacterium. RNAcentral's name for it is "partial 16S ribosomal RNA". It matches the Rfam family "Bacterial small subunit ribosomal RNA", at positions 28 to 507 of the family's 1533-position model. The record is from RNAcentral.
GACGAACGCUGGCGGCGUGCUUAACACAUGCAAGUCGAACGGAAAGGCCCUGCUUGCAGGGUACUCGAGUGGCGAACGGGUGAGUAACACGUGGGUGAUCUGCCCUGCACUUUGGGAUAAGCCUGGGAAACUGGGUCUAAUACCGGAUAGGAGCCAUUUUUAGUGUGAUGGUUGGAAAGUUUUUUCGGUGUAGGAUGAGCUCGCGGCCUAUCAGCUUGUUGGUGGGGUAAUGGCCUACCAAGGCGGCGACGGGUAGCCGGCCUGAGAGGGUGGACGGCCACAUUGGGACUGAGAUACGGCCCAGACUCCUACGGGAGGCAGCAGUGGGGAAUAUUGCACAAUGGGCGCAAGCCUGAUGCAGCGACGCCGCGUGGGGGAUGACGGCCUUCGGGUUGUAAACUCCUUUCGCUAGGGACGAAGCUUUUUGUGACGGUACCUAGAUAAGAAGCACCGGCUAACUACGUG